UACAGAGGUCUCAAGCGUUGUUCGGAUUCAUUGGGCGUAAAGGGUGCGUAGGUGGCGCUGUAAGUCAGGUGUGAAAUUUCGGAGCUUAACUCCGAAACUGCAUUCGAUACUGCCGUGCUUGAGGACUGGAGAGGAGACUGGAAUUUACGGUGUAGCGGUGAAAUGCGUAGAUAUCGUAAGGAAGACCAGUGGCGAAGGCGGGUCUCUGGACAGUUCCUGACGCUGAGGCACGAAGGUCAGGGGAGCAAACGGG
RNAcentral lists this ribosomal RNA (253 nucleotides) under uncultured bacterium. RNAcentral's name for it is "partial 16S ribosomal RNA". It matches the Rfam family "Bacterial small subunit ribosomal RNA", at positions 524 to 776 of the family's 1533-position model. The record is from RNAcentral.